RNAcentral lists this unclassified non-coding RNA (277 nucleotides) under Hevea brasiliensis (rubber tree). Lineage: Eukaryota; Viridiplantae; Streptophyta; Magnoliopsida; Malpighiales; Euphorbiaceae. The record is from RNAcentral.
CUCGGUAAUUUCAUUAGUUGGAUAUCCAAUUGUAUCAUUAUCUCUUGUACAUGGAGAGCUCUUGCCAUUUUCAGUGUCAAGAGAAGUUGGGGCUUCAUUUCUACCAAUUUGGGCAUUGCAAGAAAUCAAGGUCUCAAUCUCCUUCAAAGAGCUGUUUUGCUGAGAUGUAUCUUGACUGGCACUAAAACCACCAUUAACAACACUUGUUUCUGCAACACUGUCUUGGGUAUGAUCAGCAGACGACUCAUUGUCAUAUUCACUAACGGCAGAGGCAUCA